This is a small nucleolar RNA of Grus americana (Whooping crane), 141 nucleotides long. RefSeq annotates it as small nucleolar RNA SNORA5. The record is from RefSeq and is a predicted model, not a curated record. Lineage: Eukaryota; Metazoa; Chordata; Aves; Gruiformes; Gruidae. The transcript has a single exon.
UGCAGCCCCGUCAAAUUCGGUCCCUGCCCCCUCCGUGGUGGGGACCGGCCAACCGGCUGCCACAGCAACUUCUGUAGUCCACGAGCUCCCCCGUCCCCUUCCCGUGGGACGCUGGGGGAUAAAAUCACACCACGGACACGU